UCUUUCUUCUUUUCUUAAGUUUUUCAUCAGGAACAAAUGGUGAUCGAGUGAAAUAAACAAGUGAGGUUUCUGCUCAACUAUUAGUAUUCAGGGCUUAGUAGAGAUUUUGGGACAUACAGGUUGAAAACAAGGAGUACCAUUUGUUGAAUACAAGCAAUUGACAGGUGAAUACAAGGAACUGAGAGUUAAAUUGAUAGCUGGGAACAAGGAUUUUGUUAGAAGAGAUCGUCAAGAUGUUAACGAGAAAAUAUAUGAAGAACCCAGUUAUGAUAUUUGGAUACGAACUAUGGUGAUUGUAGAAGUCUAAUUUCUUAUACUGAAGAAAUGGGUAUUGAAGUGUACAGUGAAUUUGUGAAUGCUACUUUGGGGAUGAAUGUUGUUUUGAUUGACUUGAGAAGGUACAUACUCAAGUUGCUGCCGUUGAUACAGUCAGGAAAGUGAUGGUGCUGCUGUUGUUUUUGAUGAAUGAUAGAAGUUUAAGUUGUGUGUUUGAAAGUUUUGGAGAAUGGGUUGCUCUAUGAUUUGAAUUGCAGGUUGGACUCACACGACAGGAAAAAUGGUUUGUGUUUGUGUGUGUGAAAGUUUGGGGAAAUGGGUUUGUGUCUGAUUUGAAAUUGCAUGCUACUAUGGUCGGUGUGGUUAUGCUUGAGAUUCCAAGAGUUUGGGGUGAAGUAUGGCUGGAAAGUUGAAGAGAAGCUAGCUUGUUGCAUCUAUCAUCCACUGCACGGGUACUUCUUGCACUCUUGCAAAAACACCACAGCUAGCAAAACCCCAACACAACAACACCACUACUGCCAGUUGCAAGGUUGCAUCAUCACCUGUCAGCCUACAUCAACACCACCAUUAUCUUGCCAUCAACAGAUGUUUGUCAUCCACCAUCUAAAACCACCAUCCACCACCAUUAUUUUUCCGAAACCAGUUUGCAUCUCCAUUAGCAUACCACCUCCACAUCCAUACCAAUUACCACCAUUCCAGAACAUACCCCCACCACCAGUUCACAUCAUUUUCAUAACUUUAUAAACGUUCACAUCGGCAUCAAUAUAACGAGCAGCUGGCCAGUUCGCAACUUCAACAACAGCAAGUACAUCACUAGUCCACCUGCAGCUUAAUUUGCUUGCGGCAAACUCCAGCUGGUAGCCAAGCCACGCCAUCAGCCGCCAUGUGUAGGAGUUGGUACACGUCAUCAUCCGCCAUGUGUAGGAGUUGGUACACGUCAUCAUCCGCCAUGUGUAGGAGUUGGUACACGUCAUCAUCCGCCACAUGUGAUAAUUGAACUAUGGUUAAUAAUAGCUUGAGUUAGAAGGAGGGUAUUUUGGAGAUAAGUAACACCAUUUUUUUCCAUAACUGUUAUGUCGGACGGAACAUGAUCAAUUUGUAAACCAACUAUAAAAGUGUGACCUUUUUGUAAACGAAUUAUAAAAAGUAGGACCAUUUUGUAAUUGGCCCAAAAAAAAAGGCUAGGAAUAUGGACAAGACAGAUAUUGGUAGAUCAGGACUGACAGGCACAUCACAGCGGCAUUGGUCGAGUCAUUGCAAGCUGACAUUUUAUGGUUUUUAAAUUCAUAUACCAGGAGACGUCACCACGGCUCGUUGGAAAACAAGGAUUACUCUAGACUUGCUUAAUGAGAGCUCGAGGCAUCUAAAGAUUUGCCUGCAACACAGUAAAA
Long non-coding RNA from Papaver somniferum (opium poppy), 1667 nucleotides. RefSeq lists it as uncharacterized. The record is from RefSeq and is a predicted model, not a curated record. The transcript is spliced from 2 exons. NCBI's taxonomy places the organism in Eukaryota, Viridiplantae, Streptophyta, Magnoliopsida, Ranunculales, Papaveraceae.